CAGCCGCCGCGGUAAUACCAACCCCGCGAGUGGUCGGGACGUUUAUUGGGCCUAAAGCGUCCGUAGCCGGCCCGGUAAGUCCCUCCUUAAAGCCCACGGCUCAACCGUGGGAGCGGAGGGAUACUGCCGGGCUAGGGGGCGGGAGAGGCCGGGGGUACUCCUGGGGUAGGGGCGAAAUCCUAUAAUCCCAGGAGGACCACCAGUAGCGAAGGCGCCCGGCUAGCACGCGCCCGACGGUGAGGGACGAAAGCUGGGGGAGCAAAGGGGAUUAGAUACCCCCGUAGUCCCAGCUGUAAACGAUGCAGGCUAGGUGUUAGGCGGGCUUCGUGCCCGCCUAGUGCCGUAGGGAAGCCGUUAAGACUGCCGCCUGGGGAGUACGGCCGCAAGGCUGAAACUUAAAGGAAUUGGCGGG
Molecule: ribosomal RNA, 412 nt
Filed under: uncultured microorganism
Description: bacterial SSU rRNA
Rfam family: Archaeal small subunit ribosomal RNA
Source: RNAcentral